This 525-nucleotide ribosomal RNA is filed under the name Eikenella corrodens. RNAcentral's name for it is "bacterial SSU rRNA". It matches the Rfam family "Bacterial small subunit ribosomal RNA", at positions 34 to 546 of the family's 1533-position model. The record is from RNAcentral. Lineage: Bacteria; Pseudomonadati; Pseudomonadota; Betaproteobacteria; Neisseriales; Neisseriaceae.
CGCUGGCGGCAUGCUUUACACAUGCAAGUCGAACGGCAGCGGGGUAGUGCUUGCACUANUGCCGGCGAGUGGCGAACGGGUGAGUAAUAUAUCGGAACGUACCGUAGAUAAUGGGGGAUAACCAAUCGAAAGAUUGGCUAAUACCGCAUACGUCCUAAGGGAGAAAGCGGGGGAUCNCAAGACCUCNCGUUAUUCGAGCGGCCNAUANCUGAUUAGCUAGUUGGUGGGGUAAAGGCCUACCAAGGCGACGAUCAGUAGCGGGUCUGAGAGGACGAUCCGCCACACUGGGACUGAGACACGGCCCAGACUCCUACGGGAGGCAGCAGUGGGGAAUUUUGGACAAUGGGGGCAACCCUGAUCCAGCCAUGCCGCGUGUAUGAAGAAGGCCUUCGGGUUGUAAAGUACUUUUGUUAGGGAAGAAAAGGGAAGUGCUAAUACCACUUUUUGCUGACGGUACCUAAAGAAUAAGCACCGGCUAACUACGUGCCAGCAGCCGCGGUAAUACGUAGGGUGCGAGCGUUAAUC